This 465-nucleotide ribosomal RNA is filed under the name Vreelandella stevensii. RNAcentral describes it as "partial 16S ribosomal RNA". It matches the Rfam family "Bacterial small subunit ribosomal RNA", at positions 338 to 795 of the family's 1533-position model. Lineage: Bacteria; Pseudomonadati; Pseudomonadota; Gammaproteobacteria; Oceanospirillales; Halomonadaceae. The record is from RNAcentral.
CCUACGGGAGGCUGCAGUGGGGAAUAUUGGACAAUGGGGGGAACCCUGAUCCAGCCAUGCCGCGUGUGUGAAGAAGGCCCUCGGGUUGUAAAGCACUUUCAGUGAGGAAGAACGCCUGGUGGUUAAUACCCAUCAGGAAAGACAUCACUCACAGAAGAAGCACCGGCUAACUCCGUGCCAGCAGCCGCGGUAAUACGGAGGGUGCGAGCGUUAAUCGGAAUUACUGGGCGUAAAGCGCGCGUAGGUGGCUUGAUAAGCCGGUUGUGAAAGCCCCGGGCUCAACCUGGGAACGGCAUCCGGAACUGUCAAGCUAGAGUGCAGGAGAGGAAGGUAGAAUUCCCGGUGUAGCGGUGAAAUGCGUAGAGAUCGGGAGGAAUACCAGUGGCGAAGGCGGUCUUCUGGACUGACACUGACACUGAGGUGCGAAAGCGUGGGUAGCAAACAGGAUUAGAUACCCUUGUAGUC